Molecule: unclassified non-coding RNA, 205 nt
Filed under: Hevea brasiliensis (rubber tree)
Lineage: Eukaryota; Viridiplantae; Streptophyta; Magnoliopsida; Malpighiales; Euphorbiaceae
Source: RNAcentral
UGAUGACCCCUUGGAAUUUGCCAUGACCAAAGGAGAACCAGUUCCUUUUGUGGAUUAAGGAAUUGAGAUCUCGAAAUAAAAUUGUAAAAGAAUCGAGAUGACACUUUCUGCUCUCUCUCUCUUUCUUAGGUUAACGAAAGCGAAGCCCCUUCUCCGUCUGUGUUUCUUUCUCUCUCUGCUCGUUGAAGACUUGGGGUUGAAAAAG